GCCGGCGUGGCGAAAUGGUAGACGCAGUGGACUCAAAAUCCACCGGUAGCGAUACCGUGUCGGUUCAACUCCGACCGCCGGUA
Molecule: transfer RNA, 83 nt
Filed under: Spirochaetales bacterium
Lineage: Bacteria; Pseudomonadati; Spirochaetota; Spirochaetia; Spirochaetales
Description: tRNA-Leu
Rfam family: tRNA
About the family: Transfer RNA (tRNA) molecules are approximately 80 nucleotides in length. Their secondary structure includes four short double-helical elements and three loops (D, anti-codon, and T loops). Further hydrogen bonds mediate the characteristic L-shaped molecular structure. tRNAs have two regions of fundamental functional importance: the anti-codon, which is responsible for specific mRNA codon recognition, and the 3' end, to which the tRNAs corresponding amino acid is attached (by aminoacyl-tRNA synthetases). tRNAs cope with the degeneracy of the genetic code in two manners: having more than one tRNA (with a specific anti-codon) for a particular amino acid; and 'wobble' base-pairing, i.e. permitting non-standard base-pairing at the 3rd anti-codon position.
Source: RNAcentral